RNAcentral lists this ribosomal RNA (484 nucleotides) under uncultured bacterium. Its description in RNAcentral is "partial 16S ribosomal RNA". It matches the Rfam family "Bacterial small subunit ribosomal RNA", at positions 30 to 507 of the family's 1533-position model. The record is from RNAcentral.
AUUGAACGCUGGCGGCAGGCCUAACACAUGCAAGUCGAGCGGAUGAAGGGAGCUUGCUCCUGGAUUCAGCGGCGGACGGGUGAGUAAUGCCUAGGAAUCUGCCUGGUAGUGGGGGAUAACGUCCGGAAACGGGCGCUAAUACCGCAUACGUCCUGAGGGAGAAAGUGGGGGAUCUUCGGACCUCACGCUAUCAGAUGAGCCUAGGUCGGAUUAGCUAGUUGGUGGGGUAAAGGCCUACCAAGGCGACGAUCCGUAACUGGUCUGAGAGGAUGAUCAGUCACACUGGAACUGAGACACGGUCCAGACUCCUACGGGAGGCAGCAGUGGGGAAUAUUGGAGUAUGGGCGAAAGCCUGAUCCAGCCAUGCCGCGUGUGUGAAGAAGGUCUUCGGAUUGUAAAGCACUUUAAGUUGGGAGGAAGGGCAGUAAGUUAAUACCUUGCUGUUUUGACGUUACCAACAGAAUAAGCACCGGCUAACUUCGUG